RNAcentral lists this ribosomal RNA (253 nucleotides) under uncultured bacterium. RNAcentral's name for it is "partial 16S ribosomal RNA". It matches the Rfam family "Bacterial small subunit ribosomal RNA", at positions 524 to 776 of the family's 1533-position model. The record is from RNAcentral.
UACGUAGGGUGCAAGCGUUGUCCGGAAUUAUUGGGCGUAAAGAGCUCGUAGGCGGCUUGUCGCGUCGUCCGUGAAAACCCACAGCUCAACUGUGGGCUUGCGGUCGAUACGGGCAGGCUAGAGUUCGGUAGGGGAGACUGGAAUUCCUGGUGUAGCGGUGAAAUGCGCAGAUAUCAGGAGGAACACCGGUGGCGAAGGCGGGUCUCUGGGCCGAUACUGACGCUGAGGAGCGAAAGCGUGGGGAGCGAACAGG